UCGGAUCGUUUUAGAAACAUUCAGGGGCCAACAGUUUCAGGAUUGUUGAGCUCCAUUGGCGGGAUUUCGCCGUCUUCGUUUCUCUUUCUUCGCGGACGAACACGCGCCAGGGGCUGAGCGCUGUGCGAUGCAUCGACUUCACGUCAGGUGCGCGCCGGCAUGUCUCUCGUGUUAGGGGCUUGUAGCUCAGUUGGUUAGAGCGCGCGCUUGAUAAGCGUGAGGUCGGAAGUUCAAGUCUUCCCAGGCCCACCACGCUUCGCCGUCGGCUACGCGUGGCGCUGCCACGCAGGAGACGAAGCGAAGCGUGCCCGGCAUAGCCCGAAGGGCGACGACGGGCCUAGCUAGGCAUUCGUCUUCUGGUACGGGGCCAUAGCUCAGCUGGGAGAGCGCGUGCUUUGCAAGCAUGAGGUCGUCGGUUCGAUCCCGUCUGGCUCCACCAGAUGGAAUUGAAGCUCGAGAAUGCGCCUUGUGCAGCUAGCUCUGUUCAUUUCGUCCGCGAAACAUCACUUCGCACUCAUUGGUCCGGAUGGACGGUGACGUGCGUGUUUUCUGACAUCGUAAAGAGGAGAUCGAUCCGAGUUUGGAUCCAGCGAAGCAAUUCGCGGGUACCAUUCCUAAUCUCCAGAUCGUUUUCGGCGCUCGCGCAUCGCAGCUUAUCGCAAGAUGAGUGAGGUGAGCGAGUUGUAAAACGAUCUUUGUAGCGAAGCUUGACCGCCUCGCUAUCGGGCCGAUCUUACGAAGCAAGCUGGUCUUUCUAGUCAAUGUCCGGCUGUGCAAUCGCAUCUUCGAGGGUGCGUGCCUGAGACCCCGGUCUUUUGGGCAGUUGCGCAGACAACAUUCUGCCCGAGUGUGUGGACAUUGAUAAUGAGAGCAAUCAAGUGCCUUAAGGGGUGUUCGGGUGGAUGCCUUGGCGCUGAGAGGCGAUUAAAGGACGUGCUACGCUGCGAUAAGCCGUGGGG
Molecule: transfer RNA, 959 nt
Filed under: Bradyrhizobium sp. 47-1-1
Lineage: Bacteria; Pseudomonadati; Pseudomonadota; Alphaproteobacteria; Hyphomicrobiales; Nitrobacteraceae
Description: partial 16S-23S ribosomal RNA intergenic spacer
Rfam family: tRNA (bases 176-249)
Source: RNAcentral